This 484-nucleotide ribosomal RNA is filed under the name uncultured bacterium. Its description in RNAcentral is "partial 16S ribosomal RNA". It matches the Rfam family "Bacterial small subunit ribosomal RNA", at positions 30 to 507 of the family's 1533-position model. The record is from RNAcentral.
AUUGAACGCUGGCGGCAUGCCUAACACAUGCAAGUCGAGCGGAAGAACGGGUGUUUGUCCCUGGUGCCGCGGGGGGCGGGGGUGUGAUGUACAUGGGUAUAUCUCCUGUAGGGGGAGAUAGUCCGGCGACGGCCGCUUUUAUACCGCACACGAUGUACGGGAGAAAGGGGGGGCUUUGGGGGCCUCGCGAUAUGAUGUUGGUAGGUCGGAUUAGCUAGUUGGUGGGGUAAAGGCCUACCAAGGCGACGAUCAGUAGCUGGUCUGAGAGGAUGAGCAGCCACACUGGAACUGAGACACGGCCCAGACUCCUACGGGAGGCAGCAGUGGGGAAUGUUGGACAAUGGGCGAAAGCCUGAUCCAGCAAUGCCGCGUGUGUGAAGAAGGUCUUCGGAUUGUAAAGCACUUUUAGUCGGGAAGAAAGCCUGUGCCUUAAUACGUUCGUGUUUUGACGGUACCGAAAGAAUAAGCACCGGCUAACUACGUG